AUGAGGCAGCUUCAGCACCUAGACUACGACUUCACAGAGGAGGAGGUUUGGGCGGCCAUCCGGGCACAAGGACGAGACAAGGCACUAGGACCGGAUGGGUUCUCGGUGCGAUUCUAUGUGUCUUGUUGGGGUAUCAUUAAGGAGGAUGUCAUGGACGCAUUCAGGGCCUUUGGGAGGCUGGAUUUCCAAGGGCUAACAUCGAUGAAUCAAGCCUUUGUUACUUUACUGCCGAAAUCACCAGCAGCACUCGAGGUCAGAGACUUCAGAACAAUAAGUCUGAUUCACAGCUUCCCCAAACUAGUUGCGAAGGUCAUGUCUCUUCGCGUGGCACCAGAGAUGACAAACAUCGUGGGAACUCACCAGAGCGCGUUCAUACAAGGGAGGUGUCUCCAUGACAACUAUAUGCUCGUGCAAGGCACUGUCAGGUGGCUGCAAUCGACCAAAAGGCCCGCGCUCAUGCUGAAGCUAGACAUAACAAAAGCUUUCGACACCACGGAUUGGGCAUUCUUGCUGGAGGUCCUACGACACCUAGGCUUCGGAGACAAGUGGAUCGCAUGGGUAGCCAGUUUGUUGGCCUCAUCUUCCACUCGAGUGCUGCUCAACGGCGUGCCAGGCGAGGUUAUUUACAACAAGCGUGGCUUCUGGCAGGGAGACCCAGUUUCCCCACUACUCUUUGUCAUGGUUAUGAGCUGCCUCCACGCCUUACUCAACUAUGCCGCAGAGUCCGGAGUUCUAGCACCACUCGCUGAAGGAAAUAUGCCCUAG
This 765-nucleotide ribosomal RNA is filed under the name Triticum aestivum (bread wheat). RNAcentral's name for it is "partial small subunit ribosomal RNA". The record is from RNAcentral. Lineage: Eukaryota; Viridiplantae; Streptophyta; Magnoliopsida; Poales; Poaceae.